Rattus norvegicus (Norway rat) is the source of this 2188-nucleotide non-coding RNA. The record is from RefSeq and is a predicted model, not a curated record. NCBI's taxonomy places the organism in Eukaryota, Metazoa, Chordata, Mammalia, Rodentia, Muridae.
GAGAACCGCUGCGGGUCGCCGGCUGCGGUACUGGGCACUCCCAGGCGGGAGGACACACUCUUGCGGUUGUUGGAGACCUCCAGGCUAGGGUGUGCUGUGGCAGGAUCCAAGGUCACAUCCACUGAGCAGAAGCAAAAGGCUCUACUAACCACUGAAGCAAGACUAUCUUGGACCUCACAUGGUGACGUUUUGAGUGACCUUAGGGUAGCCAGUUAUACCUUUCAGUGGGAGCCUCUGUAGCCAAAUAUGAACUGAACAUGAACGCAAGCUGUGCAGCCUGCACUCCAGUGGGUUCGGAUGCCACAGCACUGGUAUGACCUUCACCUCCCACCACUUACAACUGGGCGACCACAAACUCCACUUUUCCAGCUCUGAUCCUAUACUUGAAGGGGCCCAGCAUCCGAAGUGUUUUGCUUUUGGAAACCAGUGAGCUAUUCAACUUGGCUGGGGAAUCUACAGGUUGUCAUCUGCUUCCUGGCAUUUGUCUCAGUUCUCACACCACCGGAGGAAUCCCCAACAAAGCCAACAGCUACUUGGUCACAGCAGCAACCGCCCUGUGCUAGUCUAAAUGAAAAUGGCUCCCCAACACCAACCCAACCUCAAAACCUUUGACCUACAAUUCGUCCUGCCUACAAGAUGUGCUGUGGUAAAUGUGCUGCAGAAAUUGGUGGAGUGGCUGACCCAUGGCUGGUCCAGCUUGAGACCCAUGCCACAAGAGGGAGCCCAUGCCUGACACUAUCUGGAGGGCCAGAAACCAGAGGCUGCAUAGCCCCAGACAUCUGAUAGCCCCAGAUAGAACCAAACAUGACCAGCAAAGAAAACAGUCCAUGAGACGAUUCCUAAUGAUACUUUACUGGAGCCCAGCAUAAUCGUCAUCAGAGAGGCUCCACCAGCAAUGGAUGGAAAGAGAGGCAGAGGGCCACAGCCAGACAUUAGGUGGAGCUUGGGAAGUGCCCUGAAAGAGGGGGAGGAAGGACUGUAGGAGCCAGAGGGGUCAAGGACACCACAAGAAAACCCACAGAAACAACUAACCUGGGCUCAUAGACACCCCCAGAGACUGAACUGCCAACCAGGGAGCCUGCAUGGGAUUGACCUAAGCCCUCUGCAAUAUGUUAUGGUUAUGUAGCUUGGUCUUCUUGUGUGAUUCCUAAUAGUGAGGGUGAGAGAUGUCUCUGACUCUUUUGCCUGCUUUUGGGACCCUUUUCCCACUGGGUUGACUCAUCCACCCUUAGAUUGAGGGGAGGUGCCCAGUCUUACUGCAACUUUAUAUGCCAUGUUUGGUUGAUGUCUAUGGAAGGCCUGCCAUUUUCUGAAGGGAAACAGAGAAGGAGUGGAUGAGGGGAGAGAGGGAGGAGCUAUGUGUGUAGAUGGGGGGAGACUGCAGUUGGGUUGUAAUAAAUGAGAGAAUAAUAAAAAAACAAUUAAAAAAAAGAAAAUGGCCCCCAUAGGCUCAUAGGGAGUGGCAUCAUUGAGAUGUGAUUUUUUGAAGGAAGUGUGUCACUGAGGGUGGGCUUCGAGGUUUCAGAAGCUCAAGCCAAUCCCAGUAUCCCUCUCUCUUCCUGCUGCCUGCCUAUCCAGGUACCUUUCCAAACCCUGUGUUCCACCGUGCUUCCCGCUGUGAUGAUAUGGACUGAACCUCUGGGACUGUAAGCCUGACACAAUUAAAUGCUUUUCUUUAUAAGAGUUGUCUUGCUCAUGGUGUCUCUUCACAGCAGUGAAACCCCAAGACAAGUCCCAAAGGUAGGAUGUGGUUUGGUGCUGUCUGUAGCCCAGGGCGGCUCCCAGGGUGGCCAGUGAUGACAGGAUGAAGACAAAGUCAGAGCAGGACUCUGCAGAAACAUGUGUCAACUUCAUCAUUUUGUGUUUGUGUAAUCUAAUUAUUCAAAGGUAAGGAUUUACUACAGAUAAAUAUUUUUAAACUUUAGAAGUAUAGUAAACAGAGGUAGACAUUGCUAAGCCAUGCAUUGUUGUAUAGAUGACCUCUGGGCCAAUCAACAUGGAGCUUUGGAUGGUUAGAAAGACAAACGUGAGCCAAUACCUACUGACCUGCAAUCUGGAGCACGAACUCUUUCUUCUGGGGCAGCAAGGGGUUCUGGAUUAUACAAGACACGUUGCUAUGAGUCCCUCCUCGGACAAUCACAGAUGUCUCCAGACUGAAUAGGCCCUGGGCAUUCUGGGUGAUGUCUUC